GACGAACGCUGGCGGCGUGCUUAACACAUGCAAGUCGAACGGAAAGGCCCUGCUUUUGUGGGGUGCUCGAGUGGCGAACGGGUGAGUAACACGUGAGUAACCUGCCCUUGACUUUGGGAUAACUUCAGGAAACUGGGGCUAAUACCGGAUAGGAUCUCCUGCUGCGUUGUGGGGGUUGGAAAGUUUCGGCGGUUGGGGAUGGACUCGCGGCUUAUCAGCUUGUUGGUGGGGUAGUGGCUUACCAAGGCUUUGACGGGUAGCCGGCCUGAGAGGGUGACCGGGCACAUGGGGACUGAGAUACGGCCCAGACUCCUACGGGAGGCAGCAGUGGGGAAUAUUGCACAAUGGGCGGAAGCCUGAUGCAGCAACGCCGCGUGCGGGAUGACGGCCUUCGGGUUGUAAACCGCUUUCGCCUGUGACGAAGCGUGAGUGACGGUAAUGGGUAAAGAAGCACCGGCUAACUACGUG
RNAcentral lists this ribosomal RNA (468 nucleotides) under uncultured bacterium. RNAcentral describes it as "partial 16S ribosomal RNA". It matches the Rfam family "Bacterial small subunit ribosomal RNA", at positions 28 to 507 of the family's 1533-position model. The record is from RNAcentral.